CCUACGGGCGGCAGCAGUGAGGAAUAUUGGUCAAUGGACGAGAGUCUGAACCAGCCAAGUAGCGUGAAGGAUGACUGCCCUAUGGGUUGUAAACUUCUUUUAUAUGGGAAUAAAAUGUUCCACGUGUGGGAUUUUGUAUGUACCAUAUGAAUAAGGAUCGGCUAACUCCGUGCCAGCAGCCGCGGUAAUACGGAGGAUCCGAGCGUUAUCCGGAUUUAUUGGGUUUAAAGGGAGCGUAGGUGGAUUGUUAAGUCAGUUGUGAAAGUUUGCGGCUCAACCGUAAAAUUGCAGUUGAAACUGGCAGUCUUGAGUACAGUAGAGGUGGGCGGAAGUCGUGGUGUAGCGGUGAAAUGCUUAGAUAUCACGAAGAACUCCGAUGGCGAAGGCAGUUCACUGGACUGCAACUGACACUGAGGCGCGAAAGUGUGGGUAUCAAACAGGAUUAGAUACCCCUGUAGUC
RNAcentral lists this ribosomal RNA (460 nucleotides) under uncultured bacterium. RNAcentral's name for it is "partial 16S ribosomal RNA". It matches the Rfam family "Bacterial small subunit ribosomal RNA", at positions 338 to 795 of the family's 1533-position model. The record is from RNAcentral.